Molecule: ribosomal RNA, 260 nt
Filed under: uncultured bacterium
Lineage: Bacteria
Description: partial 16S ribosomal RNA
Rfam family: Bacterial small subunit ribosomal RNA
Source: RNAcentral
CGGACGGGUGAGUAACGCGUGGGUAACCGUGCCCUGUACAGGGGGAGUAACAGCUGGAAACGGCUGCUAAUACCGCAUAAGCGCACGAGGAGACAUCUCCUUGUGUGAAAAACUACCGGUGGUACAGGAUGGCCCGCGUCUGAUUAGCUGGUUGGCAGGGUAACGGCCUACCAAGGCAACGAUCAGUAGCCGGUCUGAGAGGAUGAACGGCCACAUUGGAACUGAGACACGGUCCAAAACUCCUACGGGGAGGCAGCAUG